UAGGGAAUCUUCGGCAAUGGACGAAAGUCUGACCGAGCAACGCCGCGUGAGUGAAGAAGGUUUUCGGAUCGUAAAACUCUGUUGUUAGAGAAGAACAAGGACGUUAGUAACUGAACGUCCCCUGACGGUAUCUAACCAGAAAGCCACGGCUAACUACGUGCCAGCAGCCGCGGUAAUACGUAGGUGGCAAGCGUUGUCCGGAUUUAUUGGGCGUAAAGCGAGCGCAGGCGGUUUCUUAAGUCUGAUGUGAAAGCCCCCGGCUCAACCGGGGAGGGUCAUUGGAAACUGGGAGACUUGAGUGCAGAAGAGGAGAGUGGAAUUCCAUGUGCAGCGGUGAAAUGCGUAGAUAUAUGGAGGAACACCAGUGGCGAAGGCGGCUCUCUGGUCUGUAACUGACGCUGAGGCUCGAAAGCGUGGGGAGCAAACAGG
RNAcentral lists this ribosomal RNA (429 nucleotides) under Chloroflexota bacterium. Its description in RNAcentral is "Chloroflexi bacterium partial 16S ribosomal RNA". It matches the Rfam family "Bacterial small subunit ribosomal RNA", at positions 355 to 776 of the family's 1533-position model. The record is from RNAcentral. RNAcentral also lists the same sequence under 1 other name. Lineage: Bacteria; Bacillati; Chloroflexota.